GCUGAAAUAUAAAAGUAUAUUUCAGCAAAAUAUGCUUACAAGUAAAGAAUACUGCAUUUACAUUGUUUACAUUUCUUUUUCAUGUGACAUUUGUCUCGAAAAUAAAACACAAUAUGGACUGAUUCAGUUUUCUGUGAAACGCAGCUUUCACCCUCAACUCAGGAUGGUAUGACACUGCAUUAAUUCACAGAUCAUCUGUUGUAUUUCCUAGUUUUGAGUGAAGUAAGUUUAAUAAGGAAUGACGCAAGCGUAAUAAAUAUGCUAAAUUUCGUCAUCGCUACUCUAAUGCAAGUUAUUAUCAGCUGAGAUGAAGGAACAAACCCCACAAUUAUAAUCCAGUUAUGCAGAACACUUUAAAGAUCAAAUUAAACUGCAUUAAAUGGAAUGGAACAUUAUUUAUGUGAGAUGGCAUUUCUAUAAAACUUCAUCAGUCAAAACAGGAACAAGAGAGAACAGAAUGCAGAAAAAACAUACAAUAUGUAUAAAGCAAAGAUUAUAAACAUUUUCAAUCUAACCUCUAAAUCAGAUAUAAAUCAAUAAAUAUAAACGUUUUCUGAAAUAUUGUCUACUGUAUAUAUUACA
Molecule: long non-coding RNA, 582 nt
Organism: Sinocyclocheilus anshuiensis
Lineage: Eukaryota; Metazoa; Chordata; Actinopteri; Cypriniformes; Cyprinidae
Exons: 4
Source: RefSeq, a predicted model, not a curated record